CAGUCGCCACGGUAAUACGUAGGGUGCAAGCGUUAAUCGGAAUUACUGGGCGUAAAGCGUGCGCAGGCGGUUAUAUAAGUCAGAUGUGAAAUCCCCGGGCUCAACCUGGGAACUGCAUUUGAGACUGUAUGGCUAGAGUGUGUCAGAGGGGGGUAGAAUUCCACGUGUAGCAGUGAAAUGCGUAGAUAUGUGGAGGAAUACCGAUGGCGAAGGCAGCCCCCUGGGAUAACACUGACGCUCAUGCACGAAAGCGUGGGGAGCAAACAGGAUUAGAUACCCGGGUAGUCCCUGUCUCUUAUAU
This 301-nucleotide ribosomal RNA is filed under the name uncultured bacterium. RNAcentral describes it as "partial 16S ribosomal RNA". It matches the Rfam family "Bacterial small subunit ribosomal RNA", at positions 509 to 809 of the family's 1533-position model. The record is from RNAcentral.